AGCAGCCGCGGUAAUUCCAGCUCCAAUAGCGUAUAUUAAAGUUGUUGCAGUUAAAAAGCUCGUAGUUGAAUUUCGGGGUUAGUAAGUUGGUCGUGCCACUGGUAUGUACUGGCUUUACUGAUUCCUCCUUCUUGUAGAACCGUAAUGCCAUUAAGUUGGUGUUGCGGGGAAACAGGACUGUUACUUUGAAAAAAUUAGAGUGUUUAAAGCAAGCUAACGCUUGAAUACAUUAGCAUGGAAUAAUGAAAUAGGACGUUCGAUCCUAUUUUGUUGGUUUCUAGGAUUGACGUAAUGAUUAAUAGGGAUAGUUGGGGGCAUUAGUAUUCAAUUGUCAGAGGUGAAAUUCUUGGAUUUAUUGAAGACUAACUACUGCGAAAGCAUUUGCCAAGGAUGUUUUCAUUAAUCAAGAACGAAAGUUAGGGGAUCGAAGACAGAUCAGAUACCGUCGUAGUCUUAACCAUAAACUAUGCCGACUAGGGAUCGGAUGAUGUUAAUUUUAUAAUGACUCAUUCGGCGCCUU
RNAcentral lists this ribosomal RNA (520 nucleotides) under uncultured Glomus. RNAcentral's name for it is "SSU rRNA". It matches the Rfam family "Eukaryotic small subunit ribosomal RNA", at positions 569 to 1089 of the family's 1831-position model. Lineage: Eukaryota; Fungi; Glomeromycota; Glomeromycetes; Glomerales; Glomeraceae. The record is from RNAcentral.